CUUCUAGCUUGCUAGAAGUGGAUUAGUGGCGCACGGGUGAGUAAGGUAUAGUUAAUCUGCCCUACACAAGAGGACAACAGUUGGAAACGACUGCUAAUACUCUAUACUCCUGCUUAACACAAGUUGAGUAGGGAAAGUUUUUCGGUGUAGGAUGAGACUAUAUAGUAUCAGCUAGUUGGUAAGGUAAUGGCUUACCAAGGCUAUGACGCUUAACUGGUCUGAGAGGAUGAUCAGUCACACUGGAACUGAGACACGGUCCAGACUCCUACGGGAGGCAGCAGUAGGGAAUAUUGCGCAAUGGGGGAAACCCUGACGCAGCAACGCCGCGUGGAGGAUGACACUUUUCGGAGCGUAAACUCCUUUUCUUAGGGAAGAAUUCUGACGGUACCUAAGGAAUAAGCACCGGCUAACUCCGUGCCAGCAGCCGCGGUAAUACGGAGGGUGCAAGCGUUACUCGGAAUCACUGGGCGUAAAGGGCGCGUAGGCGGAUUAUCAAGUCUCUUGUGAAAUCUAAUGGCUUAACCAUUAAACUGCUUGGGAAACUGAUAGUCUAGAGUGAGGGAGAGGCAGAUGGAAUUGGUGGUGUAGGGGGUAAAAUCCGUAGAUAUCACCAAGAAUACCCAUUGCGAAGGCGAUCUGCUGGAACUCAACUGACGCUAAGGCGCGAAAGCGUGGGGAGCAAACAGGAUUAGAUACCCUGGUAGUCCACGCCCUAAACGAUGUACACUAGUUGUUGGGGUGCUAGUCAUCUCAGUAAUGCAGCUAACGCAUUAAGUGUACCGCCUGGGGAGUACGGUCGCAAGAUUAAAACUCAAAGGAAUAGACGGGGACCCGCACAAGCGGUGGAGCAUGUGGUUUAAUUCGAAGAUACGCGAAGAACCUUACCUGGGCUUGAUAUCCUAAGAACCUUUUAGAGAUAAGAGGGUGCUAGCUUGCUAGAACUUAGAGACAGGUGCUGCACGGCUGUCGUCAGCUCGUGUCGUGAGAUGUUGGGUUAAGUCCCGCAACGAGCGCAACCCACGUAUUUAGUUGCUAACGGUUCGGCCGAGCACUCUAAAUAGACUGCCUUCGUAAGGAGGAGGAAGGUGUGGACGACGUCAAGUCAUCAUGGCCCUUAUGCCCAGGGCGACACACGUGCUACAAUGGCAUAUACAAUGAGACGCAAUACCGCGAGGUGGAGCAAAUCUAUAAAAUAUGUCCCAGUUCGGAUUGUUCUCUGCAACUCGAGAGCAUGAAGCCGGAAUCGCUAGUAAUCGUAGAUCAGCCAUGCUACGGUGAAUACGUUCCCGGGUCUUGUACUCACCGCCCGUCACACCAUGGGAGUUGAUUUCACUCGAAGCCGGAAUACUAAACUAG
Molecule: ribosomal RNA, 1356 nt
Filed under: Campylobacter coli
Lineage: Bacteria; Pseudomonadati; Campylobacterota; Epsilonproteobacteria; Campylobacterales; Campylobacteraceae
Description: bacterial SSU rRNA
Rfam family: Bacterial small subunit ribosomal RNA
Source: RNAcentral